UGUAUCUCAGUGGUAGAGUGCUUGCCUGGCAUGCAUAGGACCUGGGUUCAAUCCCUAGCA
RNAcentral lists this transfer RNA (60 nucleotides) under Rattus norvegicus (Norway rat). It matches the Rfam family "tRNA", at positions 6 to 65 of the family's 71-position model. From Rfam's summary of the family: Transfer RNA (tRNA) molecules are approximately 80 nucleotides in length. Lineage: Eukaryota; Metazoa; Chordata; Mammalia; Rodentia; Muridae. The record is from Rfam by way of RNAcentral.